GGACAUAGUUCAAUGGUAGAAUGUCGGUCUCCAAAACCGCUGAUGUGGGUUCAACUCCUACUGUCCC
This 67-nucleotide transfer RNA is filed under the name bovine gut metagenome. It matches the Rfam family "tRNA". Rfam says of the family: Transfer RNA (tRNA) molecules are approximately 80 nucleotides in length. Their secondary structure includes four short double-helical elements and three loops (D, anti-codon, and T loops). The record is from RNAcentral.